Sphaeramia orbicularis (orbiculate cardinalfish) is the source of this 1616-nucleotide long non-coding RNA. RefSeq lists it as uncharacterized. The record is from RefSeq and is a predicted model, not a curated record. Lineage: Eukaryota; Metazoa; Chordata; Actinopteri; Kurtiformes; Apogonidae. The transcript is spliced from 2 exons.
ACACGUUAAAUGUGUUGGACGACUUCUGUCCGUUAGACUCAGCCCUCAGCGUGUCCUGGCAGAAGAUCAGCUUUAACAGGUUUUUUCUGUCCACCUUCAGUAAAUCAGACCCUUUGUGUUUAAUUCAAGUCUUUAUUUUCCGUUUAUGGAUUCACCUUUUCUAACAGAUGUUUCAGUGUUUUGACAGAUCCACGUUCUGCAGCAGAACCACACGUCAUGCGAUGGAUGUUCAUUUUCCAAGUUCUGACAGAUCCGUUUGUAGACGUUUGCGAACUUUUUUGAUCUACGCGCUUCAUCUACCUGUUCAUUUGUCCAAAACAUAUUCUGGUUUCUGACAGAAUACAACACAUCUCAGAUUUCAUUUUGACGACAGAUCCAGAUCUUUCACCACCAGUUCUAGUGUUUCGACAGAUCCGACAAAUCCACAAGUUUUGUGACAGAUCUGGUCAUUUUGCGAAAAAUCCAGAUGUUUUAUCUUGUUGCUUGUUUUUUUCCCACAGAUCCACAUUUUCUUUUUUUUUUUUUUUUACCCUGAUCCACGUUUUCUAAGACACAUUUUCUGACAAAUCCACGAGUUUUGUGACAGAUGUGGACGUCCAGAUCCGGAUCCGGAGCCAGAUCCGGAUCCAUGUUUCAAUCCAGGGCCUUAUACGGGGCAGUUUCAGGUCGUUCGUCUUCAGGUGCAGAAUCUUUUCUCUGAAUCACGUCAGGUUUCUUUUCUUAUUUGGUUUCUUUCUUUUUUUAACUGUUUGCUGUUGUUACUGAUGUGACUUAAGUUGUGAAGAAUUUUUUAGCAAUAGACGAAUAUUGAUCUGACGAGUUUCUAAAGAGUUGGACUCGAAGGAAGUCGAGUCAUUUAUCUGCUGUGAAUCUGUUAUUUAUACGUCACUACGGGACGAACUGGAAGCAGAUAGUGACAAUAAACACACUAUCAGCCAACGGACGGGAUGGAAUUCAAACAGGAAACAAAGAGAAUUUGGAUCCGAGUGUUUUUUAUAAUCGUCAUUUACUGCGAUUCAGCGUUAAAACGAAAAGAAGAAAAAGUGCAUGAAGGGAAUUCUGUGUACAUGUGUGAAGUCAGUGAUGAUGAUGAUGAUGAAGAUGAUGAUGACGUCGUCUGUAUUUGGGAGUGUUGGUAAAAGGGGGCGGAGUCAGAGCCUGUUGAAUGUACCUCUCCCAGGCGUGUACAGUCGUCCUCCUUCAGUUCAUCCGGUGUGGUGUUGUUCUUCCGCUGCUCUUCAACUGCAGAUUCAACGGCGCUCCUGCUGUUCGCUCUGCUUUUGUAAAUGAACUCACAUGCUUUGUGUUUUUUUGGUUGACACCGUACCAAAGUUAUCUGCAAUAUUACUGCACUGCAUGAUGGGAUUCUUCCAGAUUAACUGACGGCGUCUCUUCUUCUAUGCUCUCUUUAUUCUUUGGAUUUUCUUCCAUCUGCCAAGAAAACACUGCAGUGUAUCCGACGCUAUAACUGAGUCUGCAUACUUGAAGUAUCUGAGUAUGAAACGUGUCCCAGAGAAAGUAUAUCCUGUUAUUGUGUACAAUUAUGUUUACUAUGUAUUCUGAAUAUAUUUACAGUGUAUAAAUAUACAUUAAAAACUUUAUUUAUUAUCAUUCUG